RNAcentral lists this ribosomal RNA (1119 nucleotides) under Protoperidinium cf. steidingerae. Its description in RNAcentral is "LSU rRNA". It matches the Rfam family "Eukaryotic large subunit ribosomal RNA", at positions 23 to 1148 of the family's 3401-position model. Lineage: Eukaryota; Dinophyceae; Peridiniales; Protoperidiniaceae. The record is from RNAcentral.
ACCCGCUGAAUUUAAGCAUAUAAGUGAGUGGAGGAUCAUAAAUUAAACACGUUUUCCUUAGUAAUGGCGAAUGAACAGGAACUGGUGCACCAUGGAAAACAGAGCUGCUUGCUCUGGCUUGCAAUCGCAAGAUGUACUAGCAACCAAGGUGCACGUGUGGGCCUUUUGGAAAAGAGCAUACACACAGGUGAGAAUCCCAUGUUCCGCGUGCAAUCCCCUGGUGCAUGGUAUACAUUCUCAGAGUCGUGCUUCUUGGGCAUGCAGCGCGAAAUGGGUGGUAGGCUUCAUCUAACGCUUCGCAUCGGCUUGAGACCGAUAGCAAACAAGUACUAUGAAGGGAAGGUGAACAAGGACUUUGGCAAGAAAGUUAAAUGUGCUUGAACUUGCUGAAUGGAAAGUGGGUGCAACCUGUGUGACUGAUUGAGAUUGUUGCGUGCCGUAGCUACAACUUCUUGCGCUAUACAAUUAGUGUGGCAAGUAUUGAGUUGGAUGCAUGCAAUGCUUCUCCCUCGUUGUCAGCCAAUGCCAGUCUACGUGUGGGAAAACAAAAAUGGCACUGUAGCCUACCCCAGAGUAGGCGGGCGUGCCAACAUGUGCUCACAUAUACACAUGCCACUGGCAACAUGCUUCCACCCGGCCCGUCUUGAAACACGGACCAAGGAGUCUAACACACAUGCGAGUCCGUGCGUGCGGAAACCUGUGUGCAAAAUGAAAGUGUUUGCUUGGAUGUCUGCACAAGCAACUGACCGAUCAAUUGAGUGAGGUUUGAGUGUGAGCAAGUUUAUUAGGCCCCGAAAGAUGGUGAACUAUGCCUGUGCAGGGCAAUUCCAGAGGAAACUCUGAUGGAGGCCCGCAGCGAUACUGACGUGCAAAUCGUUCGUCGCACAUGGGUAUAGGGGCGAAAGACUAAUCGAACCAUCUAGUAGCUGGUCCCGUCCGAAGUUUCCCUCAGGAUAGCUGGAGUUGAACAGUUUCACCAGGUAAAGCAAUGGUUGGAGGACUCAGGGGCGCGCUGUCCUUGACCUACUCUCAAACUUUAAAUGGGUGAGUACCAGUGACUACUUGGGUGAGCUUCUGGGCUACAUGGCGACUCCAAGUGGACCAUUUUUGGUAAGCAGA